AACUCCUGGGUAUGGGUGGGAGACGCCACUUCCGGGUGACGCCUCUUGGCCCCGCCCCCCACUGGGAGAAACUGACAGCUGCCCAUUGGCAACAAGGGAGAAGUUCCCGUUUUCUUUAUUGAGGACGACUCCGCCCUUGACCCGCCCUUCUUAAAGCUAUUCAAGAAACUGGUGCCUGCUCCUGAUUGGCUCAAGAGCUGUCUGACUAGGAUCCACAUUUUGGUUGACUCUGGACUCCAUCGGAUGUCUUUGCUGAUUGGUUCUUCAUAUGAAUAUCUGUAUGGCAUAAAAACGUCUGGAUGAAAGUGUUAAAGCCUGUCAAAUGCAAUCUUUGCUAUCCAGUGUUACGAGGACUUCAAACUGGAUGCAGAUAAGCUAUCAUAACAGCAAAAAACAUUUGAUUUUUUCCCCACAUUUCUGAUCAAGUCAUGUAUAAGAAGCAGUCGUGAGUAUGUCAAGGAAUUCACCCUUCACAUCUAUAUCUAUAUCUAUAUAUGUAAUAAAAGUCAGUGUUUGUAUGUAUGUAUGUUUGUAUGUAUGUAUGUUUGUUUGUAUGUAUGUGUGCGAGUAUGUGGCAGCUUUCUGAUUGGCCGCCACUUACACAGACAACUAUGACUGCCACGAAUGACAGAUCUGGACCAAACUUGACACACUUAAUCUGCAUGACACACUUUACACCCUGGUGCCGUUUGCGGGACAAUGGGCCAUGGGUGAUGGGUUGCUACGGCUCCCACAGGCCACUGCAACGCCCACCAGUGACGGAACUGGACCUAACUUGGCACACAGAACCCCCAUUAACCCCUUUCUCUCCUGAAGCAGAUUGGGGGAGGAUGGACCAAGUAGUUUCACUCACUUCUUGCUCUGGGAGUUGUAGUUCACCCUUAUACAGACAGCACUGAACCCAGCCGACUUCGAAUCUGGACCAAACUUGGCACACAAGUUUCUCAAAUGACCUGGGCACUGCUGGGUCCCCAAGCUAGUUUAGAAUAAUUUCCACUAUGAGAUGAUUGCCAGGUCAGAUAAUUCACCUCAUAACAGGUUUGUUUUUUAAAAAACAAACAAACAAACAAACCAGAAUUAAUACUGGCCUUGUUGAAAAAUCUACUAUAAUUUGGAGUAGCAUCACAAUGGGAAAAUUUUGGUGUUCAGCAAAGAAACCCUCCAACCCACAUAUGAUUACUAGGGGAUAUGGUAGAUAUAACUUUAAAACACAAUUUUUGUCAUAUCAAUUUUUGUUGUGCCAUCAAGAUUCCGUAAGAGCUGGAGCUUUUUUAUAAGACUGGGGAGCUGUUUCAACCCCAACAGCCAGACAGAUGUUUAAUUUUUGCUCAUGCAUCACCCUUGUUUCUCCCACUUUGAACUGAUCUCACACCUUCCAAAUUCACUCAAUAUUGUAGGCUGUUUCCUCUGGUGAACUACAUUUCAUAUCCUAGCUACCAGUUACUAUCUUAGGACCACCCACUGGCUUCAUAUGGGGCAGGAGAGCAGCCAUCCGCUGGAUUUUGAGAGCGAAGUGAACCUGCAUGCUUCAAUAAUAUUAACAUGCCCCACUUCUGACUCUGUCAUAAAUUUGCUGCAGGAUAUAAAAUCAGUGUCUGACAUUCUAAAAGGAUCUGGCAUUUCUAACUGGUUCAUUGGGCUCAGCACCUGAGGCUCAGAAAAAGCAAGAGUUUCAGUGCCUGCAUCCCCAGCGCUUUUGAUGACUGCAUUUAUUAACCUGAAUUGUGUUGAUGAGGCAAAAGAUGCUUUAGGAGAGAAGAGAGAAGCAGAGGUGUGAAGAAAGGCAGCUGAGUUCCCUUGAGCCUGUAACUAACACACUCAGCCUGGACUUUUGGUGAUUGCAGGGGCAAGGCGACCGAAAGUAAUAACAGUAAUAAUAAUCAUCAUCAUGUGGCAAAAGAGUAAUUAUGGGCUACGUCUUAUGCACAGAAGGGACAAAACAUCACUUAUGGAUGUGGUAUGAUCAUGCUUCUAACCAUAUGGCCACACACAGAAGGAUGGCACAAUUUCUGGAGCCCUCCCUUGGAUAAUAGUUUGAGAUAGUGUGUCUCUUUUGUAUAAUCACAGCAGCAGGGUUUCUGACCUUCUUACUUACUUACUUUACUUACUUACUUAGGCAAUCCCUCGUAGUUCGAGGAUGAUGGUCCUCCAUUUCUUAGAAGAUGCCUGUGCAUGAUUUUUUUUUUUAAUGUGUGGAGGUCGGUGCACGGCCGGUCAAUACACAGUCUUCACAGAUUGAGGUCCCAGCAGUGGUGUGAUUAACACAACAAGAGUGGCUUCUCAGUCUGUUGCAGCCUUCUUCCGCCUUCACAGCCAUUGUAACAUGUACCAUGUUAUCCUCUGCCUGCUCCGCCAUUGAGGUCUUUGGGUCUUCGGAUUGUUCUUGGGUCUGGAUCCUCUCCUGUGGCCACUCCUGGGAGUGUGUGACUCCUGUGGUUGUGCCCACAGGUUCAAGUGCUAAGGGAUACAAGGCCAAAGCAGACCAAAAAUCAAGACAGGGGCAUGGUACAGAACAAGAGACAUCCGAAUGUUCCCCCUGUGCUGCAAGAUUUGUGCAGAGGUGGUACAUCAGCAGCGAUAAACAGCCCUUCCCAUUUGAUUGCAGUCUGAGUGUGCAUUCUUGUAUCAAGUGUUUUGAGCAUGGCUUUGCAACAGCUGCUCCAACAACAAAAAAAUAUAUAGUCAGUCCAGGGUUGGGGGGGUACGGAGUACAGUUAAGCAGCAAUGUGGGAAGAGCUGCAAGGGCUAUGAAUCCAGCUACAUCUCAGGCAAAACUCCUUAACUUGGGCAUCAGCUGUGUGGUACAUUUUAUUCCCCUUAAGAAGAGGGAGCACCAUGAUUGAUGCUGUUUGUACCAGCUGGUCCCAGCUACUGCUCACUCUCUCCUCCUUCUCUGCCUUGCUGAUCUGGGAGGGACAUCAGAGGAGCAUGGCAUGGCAGCACUGCAUAGACGGGCUGGGCCAGUUCCCAAGGGUGGUCCAUUUUCUGCAGCUCUUUCUGACAUUCACAUGUGGGUGGUAAUUUGCAGCUGUGUCACACAGACUCAGGCCGCAUCGACUCUGCCAUAUAAUGCAGUUUGAAACUGGUCAAUGUAUAAUAUAAUGGAGUUCAAUGCAAUUAAACUGCACUAUAUGAGUCUAUACUGAUCAUUCAUAGUGGAUGAUCCAAGGGGAUGGUAGUCACCUGGAGUGCAAUUUUUAUUUUAAUAUCACCCUUCAUUAUCUUAAUUUUUUGUUUGUAAUGUGAAUGUUACUAUGGCUUAUUUUAAUAAAAAAUACAAUUUAAUGCUUCAAGAUGUCUUAUUUACAACACCUUUCUUUACCAUGGGUAGUAUGUAGGCAAAAAUAUAAAUAAAAGAAUGGACAGUUGUCACUGCAUCUUUCUGUUUGUUUGCUUAAAGAAGGUAGAUUUGCAAAGGGGCUCUAAAUAUUUUUUUUUCCUGAAAGGAGGGUGGAAGGCAAAUAAGUUUAGAAAGCUCCUCAUUAAAUGUGGUUAAGGAAAGAGCAUUGUCUCUUCAUUUCAUCUUGAUCUAGAAACAGCCAGUUUAGCAUAUUAAGAUGUGUCUUAAUUUGUGAUCAGGAAAGUAUUUUCUGUAUAUAUGUGUGUGUGUGUUUGAAUGGUACGAGGAACAGCAGCUGGUACUUAAUGGAUAAUGAUAUUGUUACCCCAAUCUCUUAAAAGGUGUAGCUUUAGAGACACGGCCAGCAAACUAACCAGUAGACAUGUGCAAAAAAAAUUGGAAAAGUCGUUUAUCGUAAUAAAUUAGUUUAUUGUAUGACUAUUGAACUGAGUUCCGAGGUGGUUUGGCGCUUCUGAAUUAACCUUCCAAUUCGAAGCGUUGGUGCCCAUUCUCGAAAUACCUUCAGAUAACCUUUGGAUAUAUGAGAAAGUGUUUUAAUUCAACCAACUGUUGCUAUUCAGGAGAGAAAUCCCCUUCCCCUGGAGUGGUUGGUUUCUAUGGGGCUCUUAAACCGGCUUGUAGAAGCGACUUGUAGAAGUGGAGGGAAGCCUGGAUUUGCUGGCUUGCAGAAGAGGGAGCCUGGAUGUGCCUUGCAAACCACAUCCUCUUCCCGCGCUUAAACCGGUUUACAGAAAUGGAGGGAAGCCUGGAUUUGCCGGCGUGCAGAAGAGCGAGCCUGGAUCUGCCUUGCAAACCAAUUCCUCUUCCCGCGCUUAAAGCUUAAACCAGUUUACAGAAGUGGAGGGAAGCCUGGAUUUGCAAUGCCCUCACCAGGAUCUCCCUUGCAAUGUGCUGGCAAAACCCCAAACUAGAAUUCUCCACCCAGGUUGGUGUGUGACUGACUUUCCACUUCAGGGGGAGAAGAAAACUGGAAAUGGGCAGGGAAAGUAAACUAUCACCCUGCUAAGGAUUUUCCACAACUCCUCCCUAUUAUUUUAAAUUACCCUGAUAUUAUUAUUAUUAUUAUUAUUAUUAUUAUUAUUAUUAUUAUUAUUAUUAUUAUUUGAAACACAACAAGAUGAGUCCACAGCAGACACUCUGCUGGCUGUUGUAUUGGAUCACAUGUCGGACACUUCCCAAGUGUCUAGGACUGUGUGAUGUAUCGGUGAAUAAUGUGUGCAGAUCCCAAUAAGGUGGCCUUCUGCAGCUGGCAGGUGGUAAUUUUGUCAGCACCAAUUGUGUUUAAGUGCAAGCCAAAGUCUUUAGGCACUGCACCCAGUGUACCAAUCACCACUGGGACCACCUUGAUUGGCUUGUGCCAGAGUCUUUGCAAUUCGAUCUUUAAGUCCUCAUAUCGUGUUAGCUUUUCCAGUUGUUUUUCUUCAAUCUUGCUGUCCCCUGGGAUUGCAACAUCGACAAUCCAUGCUUUGUAAGGUCAAUAGUAUUGUGCUCCAAAACUCUGUCUGUCUGAAUUCGGAAGUCCCAGAGUAGCUUGACAUGUUCAUUCUGUGUAACUUUUUCCAGCUUGUGAUCCCACCAGUUGUUUGUCGCAGGCAUUUGGUAUUUGUGGCACAAGUUCCAAUGAAUCAUCUGAGCAAUGGUGUUAUGCCUCUGCUUGUAGUCUGUCUGUGCGAUCUUCUUGCAGCAGCUGAGGAUGUGAUCUAUUGUUUCAUCUGCUUCCUUGCAGAGUCUACAUUUGGGAUCUGUCGUCAACUUUUCAAUUUUGGCUUUGAUGGCGUUGGUUCUAAUGGCUUGUUCUUGGGCUGCCAGAAUCAGGCCCUCCGUCUCCUUUUUCAAAGUUCCAUUUGUGAGCCACAGCCAUGUAUUUUCUUUGUCAAUUUGGCUCUCGAUUUUUCCCAGGAACUGUCCAUGGAGAGCCUUCUUUUGCUAGUUUUCUCUUCUGCUCUGGAUUGUGUUCUUGCGGUAUUCACUCUUGGUCUUUUGCACUUGAAGCAGUUUACUACUGUUGACUUCCCUCAAUGCUGGUUCUUGACUGCCUUUCACAUAAUCUGCCAGGGCAUGUUUCUCUUCCUCCACCAUUUGUUUCACUUGCAGAAGCCCUCUGCCUUCUGAUUUUCUGGGCAGGAAAAGUCUGUCGACAUCACUACGCAGGUGUAAUGAGUAGUGGAUUGUCAUCAGUUUUGUUUUUCUGUCCAGCUAAUCUAGCUCUGCUUGUGUCUAGUUCACAAAUCCAGCAGUGUAUCUAAUGACAGAGAUGGCCCAGGUGUUGAUAGCCUUGAUUGUAUUUCCGCCAUUUAAUUUGCUCUUCAAAAUCUUUCUGACUCUUUGGAUAUAUUCGUUGCUGACCACAUUUUUCACAUGCCCAUGAUUGAUAUUGUCCAACUGUAGUAUGCCCAGAUAUUUAUAGGCUUCAGGCUCAUUGCAUUUUGUGGUUUGUCCAUUUGGCAUCUCUAUGCCCUCGCUGUGAGUAAUUUUUCCUUUCUUUAAUGCCACUGUGGCACAUUUGUCUAGGCCGAACUCCAUACUGAUGUCAGUGCUGAAGAUUCAGACUGUGUUGGUCAGUGAUUGGAUUUCUGUUUCUGAUUUUCUGUAAAGCUUUAGAUCAUCCAUGUACAGCAAGUGGGCAAUUUUUGGUGAAUUUCUUGCUGUUUGGUAGCCCAGGUUUGUUUUCUGUAGAAUUACUGACAGAGGGACCAUUGCAAUGAUGAACAGCAGUGGUGAUAGUGAGUCACCCUGGAAAAUUCCUCUCUUGAUAUUAAUAGUUCCAUGGCUUUCAUUGCCCACGAACAACUCAGUUUUCAAUUGUUUCAUUGCAUUUUUGGUGAACUUUCUAAUUUUUUUCACAAACACCGAUGACAUCUAGACAUUUGCUAAUCCAGCAAUGUAGCAGUGAGUCAAAUGCUUUUUUGCAAUCAAUCCAAGUUGUAUAGAGAUUUGUCUUGCAGCUUUUGCAAUUCUCCAGUAUCAUUUUGCCAACCAAAAGCUGAUCUUUCGUGCCCCUACUUCUUCUUUUAUUACCUUUUUGUUCUACUGGCAAGAUGUUAUUUUCCUCCAAGUAAUCUUGGAUUUGAUCAGCUAUUAUGCCUGUCAGCACUUUGAACAUUGUAGGCAGACAUGUUAUUGGCCUAUAGUUUCCUGGUAUUGUCCUUUUUGCUGGAUCUUUCUGUAUCAAAUAUGUCUUCCCAGUUGUUAUCCAUUUGCUGAUGUUUCUAGUUUACAGCAUCUCAUUGAAUUGUUCGGCCAUUUUCGAGUACAGGCUACUCAGAUAUUUAAGCCAAAAUCCAUGUAGUUGAUCAUUGCCAGGUGAUGUCCAGUUCUUGACUUUCUUCACUCUUUCAGUGAUCAUUUCUGUUGUUAUUUCCAAGGUUCUCAUUUUGUUCUUUGAAAAAAAUAUUUUCAAAGUCUUUUAUCCACUCAGCUUUUUUGUUGUAACCUUUUUCUGUUUCCCACAGAUCUUUCCAGAAUGCAUUUGUAGCUGGUUUUUCUGGUUUUUCAUUUUUCACAGCCAUCUGCUGAUUCAGACUCUGGUAGAACCGUCUUUGAUCAGAUUGGAAGAGUUGAUUUUGUUUGUAUUGGAUUACUCUAGCUUCAUAUCGCUCAAUUUUUCUGGCUGUUGCCGUGAUUUGUUGUUUCACAAUUUCAAGAGUUUCUUCAAUUUUUCUUGUGUUCAGCCAAUAUUUUUUAAUCAGGUAAUUCUUUAUUUUGACAUUCUUCAGUUUUUGCUCCUUCAUGUUUUUUAGAUUGCUUGCAUCUGAAUGUAACUCCAGCCUUAUUUUCCAUUUUGGUUUUCCAAUCAUUUUUCUUGCGGGUUUCAGUUGUUGUAUCCCCAGUUCUUGUGUUACAAUCACUGCUGUGCUGUAUGCAAGCUGAUUGGUUUCUUCCAUUGUUGUUAUCUCAACAGUUGCGAGUGUAGCAUUCACAUCAUUCAUUAGAAGUGCCAGAUGUUUUCUUGGUACUGUCUUCAAUAUUGGCAGUCUUUGCCUUCCUUCCUUUCCUGCCUGCCAUUAACGAAUUAAUUUUGAAUAUUCUGAAUAUUCGUUAAGUUUUUAAAAAAUUGGGUCAAAAUUCGGAAGUAGUUCCAGAAACAAAGCGCCAGCGCGCCCUACUUUAAAAGCGGGUAUUGAACAAUUUUUUUUCAUGGAUCACACAUUCCUACUAACCAGGUGUUUCUUACUCUCAGAAAGAAAGCUUUCUUAAAAAAAAAAACCUAAAACACAGUAGAAAAAUACAAAGAACUGGAACUCCCAGUGAUGCCUCCAAAAUGGAAAGACCCCAAGCAGUGACAGUAUAUUUGCUUCUAUAGUUUCACAGAGCUGUGCCACCUUUUUGGGGCAUCACUCAAUCAUUUUGUCAGGUUCAGUUGGUUAAAAGACAAUCAGGCAAUUUCACAUCAUGUUUCAUAUCCUCUGCCCUGCACCCUCAUUUUGUCUAAUUCUUAUCAGUAGGAACUCUUCAUCCCAAGCCCACCAAGUACAAGGCUAGUGCUGACGCCAACAAGGCAGGGGAGGGUCUGUUAUGGAUAACUUUUCAAUAUCUUAAAGCAUAGGUUCUUUUUAUUGCAAUUUCAGUCUGAGAGGUAUGGCAGAACUUUUACAGAACAACAUUUAGACACACAGACAUAUAGAUUCUAUGCAACUGCAUUGGAGUUACAAACAACCUACUACAUUGGCUAAGAAACAAAGGGGGGGGGGUUACAAUUUCACUCAGCAUUCACACACAUCUAUAUGCAUCCAUCCUCAUGCAUACAAAGAUUACCAUAUCUUUUCUCCCUCCUUGGAGAAGCACCUGCUUAGGCCAGACCCAGCUUCCACUGCUGCCUGCCAACACAUAUUUCCAAAACUUCAAAAAUCCAAAAAGAACAUCUCCAAAACACACUCCUUUCUCUUCCCAUGAGAAAAGGGGGACCAAAAGUGACCAGAAUCCUGUUUUCCCAUAGCAGAUCUGACACAUACACUCUCUCUCUCCUUCCCAGUGGAGCAGAGAAUAGUGGGUGAACACCAUCUCUGUGUGUCACACUUUCUGGACUGUCAUAAGGUAACUUAUAUAGCAAUAUUUUGCUGAUGUUGUCCCAAAGUUGUAAAUGAAUGAUAGACGUCUUCCAUCCUAAGACAGCUCCACUGGCUGCCGAUAUGCUGCCGAACCCAAUUUAAAGUGCUGGUUUUGACCUACAAAGCCCUAAACGGUUCUGGUCCAAUUUACCUGUCUGAACGCAUCUCCUCCUAUCAGCCCACGAGAACCUUAAGAUCAUCUGGGGAGGCCCUGCUCUCGAUCCCACCUGCCUCACAAGCGCUGUGGAACUCCCUCCCCAGUGACAUCUGGCAGGUGCCAUUCCUUCUGGGGUUUAGAAAGAAGUUGAAGACCUGGCUAUCUGCGCAAGCGUUUAAUGAAUGAACUCAGCGUUGUCAUGGAUUGGCAGAGCAUCGGAUAAUACUGAGUGUCAGAAAAGCGGAAGUCGGAUAAGCAGAAUUCUACUGUAGCAGCUCGCAAUUUUCCUGCCACAAGAGAGACUCCAUCCACCUCUGACAUCACAGGGAGUCCCCAGCCAAUGACAGCUCAGAACCUAGCUCGACCAUUCUUGAACCAAUCAGAGGAGGAAGUGGGUCUUCUGAAUGACUGGCAAAGGAGAUAAAAUGCUUUGCACUGUAUUAUAUGUUAUGUCAGUUAUUUUGGUGAUUACGCUGUUCUAGUAAUCCCAAACUUGGCCACAUUUUUCUGGCUUUCAAAAUAGCAUGGUAUGCUGGGCAACAAACCUACACUGCUCCCUUGUAGCAGACAGCUGAGUUCAGUAACAAGAUGACAGAGGAUUAAUUGGGACUGCCAACCACACAACCCUCCCUCUUUUCUGGUCAGGUUUUCUACAAAGAAGGAGGCAUGAAUGUAUUCUUGUGUGCUAUUCUUCAUUCUGUUGACUCCCAGGAAGCGCCCCAGGCCUACUAAUCGCAGUAGCUCCAAGGUGUGAAUCUAAAUACCAUGAUACAGUUUGCCAACCUAGAUUUGAGCCUAUAACUUUCUAGAGUCUCCAACAUUAACAACUAAAUAUAAAGGCAUCUUGUUCUGGAUAGAAAACAAGCUAAUGCAUGCCAGAAGGAAUAUUCCUGGUAUAUAUGAAAAGAUGUCAUUGUAAAUCAGUUUCGCUUUUCAAAAUAUUUACAAGUUGGCAUAGACCAUAGAAGACAGAUGCAUAGGUCUAAAAAAAGAGGAGCUAAAUCCCAAAUAUGGUACACUGAGCAAAUGUGACCAGGGAUUUUGGCCAUUUCAGAUCAGGGCAGAUGGAAAGUUAACAGAAAACGGUUAGUCCAGAAGUACGACGGCCAUUGAACUAUGAGGAAUGAGUGAAAAUAUGUUUUUGGCUUUCUAAAUAAGGCUUGGACCUGGGCAAGGCCAGCUGAUGGGCUAAGUGAAGGACAGCACUGGGUGCCAAGCAGGUGUUGGUUAUGGAGAUUGGCAGGGAGCUGCUGCUGGAGCCCAGAACCACCUGAGCUUUUAACAAGACAGGACCCCAGCCAGAAGGAAGGGCUACAAAGAAAUGUCUGGAUAAGAGAAGGGAAAGGGUGGAAGGAAUUUCUUGGGAGCCAAAGGGAACCUGGAAUGACAUGGAAUGACAUGGAAUGAAAAUCCUCAGCUCUAGGGCAUGUAGAGUUAUUGGGCUACCAUUUAUGGAAGUAAAAGACGACCCAAUCAGAUCAUAUAUACUGAGUGUAUAUCAUAUCAUGUAUACUGAGUGACAACACUGAAUGCGAACCAUAAAAUAGCACUACACUGAACAUAAUAGCACCAAUUUCCAUUUCUUGAGGCACCCCAGUAUCACGCAAGCUAGAGCAAUGGCUGACAAAAGCCUAGUUGCCCACACUGUACAAACCCAGACAAUAGGGUUUACCUUUAACCUUUACCUACCACUGUAUACCCACCAACAUUUGUUGGGUUAUCUAAGCAAUCAUGCAAGCAUUUUCAAUGUGGGAUGGUUUAUGUAGUUAGUUAUGUCUGUUGCUUAGUAACCUGAGCCAAGCUGCAUUCCAGAGUUGAUGACACCAUUUAGGGGGUUUUGCAUAUGAAAUGGGAAAUGGGAGUAUCCUUUCUGAGGACACACAGGAAGUGAUGUACAGAUGCCUCUUCCUGUCUCUUCCUCUUCGCUCCUGACCAUGCCAUGCUGAUGUUCCUGUCUGUUAAGAGAUAUGUAGUUUCCUGAACUGUUUUUCUUUGGAACUAAGAUGUUUUUGCCUGUAUGACCAUCAUCAUACAAGAUUGUGAGUAAACAUAUUUUUGCUAUUUUA
Long non-coding RNA from Anolis carolinensis (green anole), 10632 nucleotides. RefSeq lists it as uncharacterized. NCBI's taxonomy places the organism in Eukaryota, Metazoa, Chordata, Lepidosauria, Squamata, Anolidae. The record is from RefSeq and is a predicted model, not a curated record. The transcript has 3 exons.